This 401-nucleotide ribosomal RNA is filed under the name uncultured bacterium. Its description in RNAcentral is "bacterial SSU rRNA". It matches the Rfam family "Bacterial small subunit ribosomal RNA", at positions 356 to 774 of the family's 1533-position model. The record is from RNAcentral.
GGGGAAUAUUGGACAAUGGGCGCAAGCCUGAUCCAGCCAUGCCGCGUGAGUGAUGAAGGCCUUCGGGUUGUAAAGCUCUUUUGGCGGGGACGAUGAUGACGGUACCCGCAGAAUAAGCCCCGGCUAACUUCGUGCCAGCAGCCGCGGUAAGACGAAGGGGGCAAGCGUUGUUCGGAAUUACUGGGCGUAAAGGGCGCGUAGGUGGUUAAUUAAGUCAGAUGUGAAAUCCCCGGGCUUAACCUGGGAAUUGCAUUUGAAACUGAUUGGCUAGAGUACGGGAGAGGGAAGUGGAAUUUCCGGUGUAGCGGUGAAAUGCGUAGAUAUCGGAAGGAACACCAGUGGCGAAGGCGACUUCCUGGCCCGUUACUGACACUGAGGCGCGAAAGCGUGGGGAGCGAACA